Molecule: ribosomal RNA, 301 nt
Filed under: uncultured bacterium
Lineage: Bacteria
Description: partial 16S ribosomal RNA
Rfam family: Bacterial small subunit ribosomal RNA
Source: RNAcentral
CAGUCGCCACGGGAAUACAGAGGGUGCGAGCGUUAAUCGGAUUUACUGGGCGUAAAGCGUGCGUAGGCGGCUUCUUAAGUCGGAUGUGAAAUCCCUGAGCUUAACUUAGGAAUUGCAUUCGAUACUGGGAAGCUAGAGUAUGGGAGAGGAUGGUAGAAUUCCAGGUGUAGCGGUGAAAUGCGUAGAGAUCUGGAGGAAUACCGAUGGCGAAGGCAGCCAUCUGGCCUAAUACUGACGCUGAGGUACGAAAGCAUGGGGAGCAAACAGGAUUAGAGACCCGUGUAGUCCCUGUCUCUUAUAC